UACGGAAGGCAGCAGUGGGGAAUAUUGCACAAUGGGCGAAAGCCUGAUGCAGCUAUGCCGCGUGUAUGAAGAAGGCCUUAGGGUUGUAAAGUACUUUUCAUCGGGGAGGAAAAAACAAAACUAAUAAUUUUAUUUCUUGACGUUACCCGAAAAAGAAGCACCGGCUAACUCCGUGCCAGCAGCCGCGGUAAUACGGAGGGUGCUAGCGUUAAUCAGAAUUACUGGGCGUAAAGAGCACGUAGGUGGUUUUUUUAAAGUCAGAUGUGAAAUCCCUGGGCUUAACCUAGGAACUGCAUUUUGAAACUGAAAUACUAGAGUAUCGUAGAGGGAGGUAGAAUUCUAGGUGUAGCGGUGAAAUGCGUAGAUAUCUGGAGGAAUACCUGUGGCGAAAGCGGCCUCCUAAACGAAUACUGACACUGAGGUGCGAAAGCGUGGGGAGCGAAACAGGGAUUAGAUACC
RNAcentral lists this ribosomal RNA (459 nucleotides) under uncultured bacterium. RNAcentral describes it as "bacterial SSU rRNA". It matches the Rfam family "Bacterial small subunit ribosomal RNA", at positions 340 to 786 of the family's 1533-position model. The record is from RNAcentral.